Non-coding RNA from Pogona vitticeps (central bearded dragon), 290 nucleotides. The record is from RefSeq and is a predicted model, not a curated record. NCBI's taxonomy places the organism in Eukaryota, Metazoa, Chordata, Lepidosauria, Squamata, Agamidae.
UUGAAUUCAGUGCUUAAGUUCUACUACUAGGUUUGCCAUAGCUGAGAUGCCAAAUGAAACAACUUCUCUGGGAAAGACAUGUUUUCUCUCAUAAUAUUAGAACCUAAGGUCCUCCAGUGAUGCUGAAUGGGUGCUGUAGGUCCUCUUCUUUGGUGUUGUCUAAGCAGCCACACCAGACUCAGGAGCCCCCAAAUUUGAGUCCUGGACCUGAAAAUACCACCUUGGCAGUAGAAUUGAGGCUGAGACACGUUUGUGGGUAUGAAUUUCCAGAAGCAUCUGAUCCACCCACC